RNAcentral lists this unclassified non-coding RNA (400 nucleotides) under uncultured fungus. RNAcentral describes it as "sequence contains ITS1". Lineage: Eukaryota; Fungi. The record is from RNAcentral.
CCGUCAAUUCCUUUGAGUUUUAGUCUUGCGACCGUACUCCCCAGGCGGUCUACUUAUCGCGUUAGCUGCGCCACUAAAGUCUCAAAGACCCCAACGGCUAGUAGACAUCGUUUACGGCAUGGACUACCAGGGUAUCUAAUCCUGUUUGCUCCCCAUGCUUUCGUACCUCAGUGUCAGUAUUAGGCCAGAUGGCUGCCUUCGCCAUCGGUAUUCCUCCAGAUCUCUACGCAUUUCACCGCUACACCUGGAAUUCUACCAUCCUCUCCCAUACUCUAGCCAACCAGUAUCGAAUGCAAUUCCCAAGUUAAGCUCGGGGAUUUCACAUUUGACUUAAUUGGCCACCUACGCACGCUUUACGCCCAGUAAAUCCGAUUAACGCUCGCACCCUCUGUAUUACCGC